This 301-nucleotide ribosomal RNA is filed under the name uncultured bacterium. RNAcentral's name for it is "partial 16S ribosomal RNA". It matches the Rfam family "Bacterial small subunit ribosomal RNA", at positions 509 to 807 of the family's 1533-position model. The record is from RNAcentral.
CAGUAGCCACGGUAAUACAAAGGGUGCAAGCGUUACUCGGAAUUACUGGGCGUAAAGCGUGCGUAGGUGGUGGUUUAAGUCCGUUGUGAAAGCCUUGGGCUCAACCUGGGAAUUGCAGUGGAUACUGGGUCACUAGAGUGUGGUAGAGGAUAGUGGAAUUUCCGGUGUAGCAGUGAAAUGCGUAGAGAUCGGAAGGAACAUCUGUGGCGAAGGCGACUAUCUGGGCCAACACUGACACUGAGGCACGAAAGCGUGGGGAGCAAACAGGAUUAGAUACCCCAGUAGUCCCUGUCUCUUAUAC